This is a long non-coding RNA of Mytilus trossulus (common blue mussel), 1390 nucleotides long. RefSeq lists it as uncharacterized. Lineage: Eukaryota; Metazoa; Mollusca; Bivalvia; Mytilida; Mytilidae. The transcript is spliced from 3 exons. The record is from RefSeq and is a predicted model, not a curated record.
UUCUAAAACUUUAAAGAUCUAAAUAUACAAGCAUGAUAUUUAAAGUAUUCAAUAUAAAACAGAAUAAAAAACCUGUAUAGCCUGUAUAAUAAUUGCUUAUUCAGGACAAGAAAAUGUUAACUGAUAGAGCAGGACUUACACUUUUUUAUUAAUGCUACCCACAGUUCAAAUGUAACAGAACAUAGAACAUACAGAAAGACAUGUCACUCUUUCCUGAACACAUGAUUUAGAAUCCAUCACAAGUAUAUAUCCACUACGGCUAAAACAUAACAUGUCUGUUUGUUUCAUAUCACACAUCUACAUGUAGUUAUUGUUGAACUUAAGGUAGGGGCUUGGAUAUUACCGGCAUUGGACUGGAUGAACACAUGAUUUUUUUUCCAGAUAAACAUGUAAAUGGAACCACACAUAUGUUUAAAUGCCCCAAUAACAAACCAUGAUUGGCAUGAACCUAUCAUGUUUGUUAAAAAAAACUACUAUAUAUAUGAGCAAACAUAAAACCUUCACACUUCUAAAACACAUCACAACUAAUUUGCAGAAUCAAAAACCAACCAGAAAGACAAAUUCGAAGUACCCAAGAAUAAUGUGAUCAGCAGAACUGAUGUCAACAAAACUAGAUCAACAGCAAGGAGAAGAUUAUUUGGGAUAUCUAGUAAAGAAACCAGAGGAAGUCAGAUGUUAAUGGAAUUGCCCAAGUCCAAUAAAUCUGAAAUGGUCAAUAAAUAUGUUGCAUCAACAGUAGAAGAAAACAAAGAAAUAAACCAUAUUAAGCAGCUGCUAGGUGAGAGCCACCCUGAUUACUUAGAAUAUUUCAAGGCACAGGCUAAAGUUGGCAGAUGUAGUAGCACAACAACUGCAGAGGCAGCAUUGAGUAAAUGCUAUGCAAAAAUCCAAACAGCAGUCAGUAAAAAACACAAUGAGACGAAACAACUUUUAAUUGAAAAGCCGGACAACAAACUGGCUUUUUUCAACAAACAAUUGGCUGAAAAGCUCAUGAAGAGCUGGAAUUUCUACUUUUAUUAGCUCACAUUCAAGGGUUGAUUUGCAAUUGACCAAUACCAUGUACAUGUAUAAUAAUCCAAAGACAAAAAUAUUUUCUUCUUGAACACUUUCACUACUGCAUUUUUAAAACAUUGAAAGUUGAAGCGAAGUUUUUACCUUAACUUUAAUUAAAGAGUGUCAGCAAAUUAUGAUUAUCAUGUUGAAUGUUAAAGAACCCGACAAAUGUUUUUAUUUUUUUUCUUAACCUUGGGUAGCUGUAUUGCAUACCCUGGGUCCCUGUCAAUACAGCUCCUCAAUGUUCUGUUCUCUAUAUUUUUUAUGAUUCAAAACAAGUUCAAGAGGAAGUUUGAAGCAUAUAUAUUCAUACAAAAAGUUACAAAUUGGUAAUUAU